RNAcentral lists this ribosomal RNA (497 nucleotides) under uncultured bacterium. RNAcentral describes it as "partial 16S ribosomal RNA". It matches the Rfam family "Bacterial small subunit ribosomal RNA", at positions 28 to 507 of the family's 1533-position model. The record is from RNAcentral.
GAUGAACGCUGGCGGCGUGCCUAAUACAUGCAAGUCGAGCGAACAGACGCGGAGCUUGCUCCUCUGACGUUAGCGGCGGACGGGUGAGUCACACGUGUAUAACCUACCUAUAAGACUGGGAUAACUUCGGGAAUCCGGAGCUAAUACCGGAUAAUAUAUUGAACCGCAUGGUUCAAUAGUGAAAGACGGUUUUGCUGUCACUUCUAGAUGGAUCCCCGCCGCAUUAGCUAGUUGGUACGGUAACGGCUUAGCAAGGCUACGAUGCGUAGCCGACCUGAGAGGGGGAUCGGCGACACGGGAAGGGGAACACGGACCAGGGUCCUACGGGAGGCAGCAGAAGGGAAUGGUCCGCAAUGGGCGAAAGCAUGACGGAGCAACGCCGCGUGAGAGAUGAAGGUCUUCGGAUCGUAAAACUGGGUUAUGAGGGAAGAACAAAUGUGUAAGGAACUAAGCACGUCGUGACGGUACCUGGUCAGAAAGCCACGGCUAACUACGUG